Long non-coding RNA from Neofelis nebulosa (Clouded leopard), 1393 nucleotides. RefSeq lists it as uncharacterized. NCBI's taxonomy places the organism in Eukaryota, Metazoa, Chordata, Mammalia, Carnivora, Felidae. The record is from RefSeq and is a predicted model, not a curated record. The transcript has 2 exons.
AAAAAUAACGGAAAGCAACUGCACCUCAACCCCAAUGAGCAGCUCCGUGAGGCCCUCCACCCUCAAGUUUUUGUCAGUCCCAGUCUCCAGUCCAGGGCCUCAUAGAAGUUAAGUGUGCCACUGCUGUCCUGUCCUCCUAGGAAGACAGUAAGGGUAAGCGGCAGCAGGCUCAGGGCCAGGAACUCAAGGCUAGGGGCUAGGCGUAAGGGUUUAGGGUCUGGGACUAGGACCUGGCAUUCUGGCCAGGAGCCUGGACUCUGAGGUUACAAGACUGCAGCUGAGAGCCUGGGAGCUUAGAGGCUGAGGCCCGCGGGGGUUGGAGAGCCUGGAGGUUGCCAGGAUUAGGUCGGAAGGGGAGGGGAGGAAGAAGCCGCAGGGCUGUGAGGGUGGGCGCCCGGGAGGGAACAGAAAAGUAGGGGUGCGGGGUGGAGGUACACGCUGAGAGGUGAGAGCCCUGCAGUAUCGGACAGGCUAGGCGCCCCGGAGCUGAGGCCGGCAGUCGGUCAGAUUGAGGGGCGGAUCGGGAACAGGGAAAACUAAGAAAAUGCAGUUUCAAAGGGUAGUGUGUGAAGGAGACCCGCCCUCUACAAGGCGGCGUGGACGCCCAAGGAGAUUGGGACCGGGCAGCUGCCGCGGCGUUGGUUCCCGAUGCGCCUACCUCCUUCCCGCCGGUCGCGCGCCAGCGCCCCCGCCCACCGCGCCAGCUGCAGGCCAGGUGACCACAAGGUGGAGCUACAACGCAACUCUGCGCAGCGUGCCUUGGCCACCCAGAAUGUCCCGUGAUGGCUGCUCUCCCGCUUCCCCUCUUGCAGCAACCCCUCCAGCCCAAGAAUCUCUCCGUGAUGACCCCUCAAUGUCAUUCAUGUCACAACAGAGGAUGGAAUGUGCAUCCCCCACCAAGCCCCGGCGCGGAAAAGAUUAGACUAUGACAAAACAGGAGUUAAAUUCAUUGAAUAAGCAGAUUGACACCAUACAGGAACCAACCUGUCUUGAAGAAAAGGCUGUGCACAACAAAAAGCCAGUUAUAGUCACAGAAUUAAAUGGCUAGAUGGGCUCUUCGGCCCUCAGCGUCUAGGCAGGAAAGCAGCUAAAUUGCAGGGGCCAGGGGAGACAGUGAAUGGAGUGAGGACUGGUGACUCCAUCAUCUUAGUUCUCCAGCAAAGGCUAUUUUGUCAUCUCCUUCAGUCAUAGGUCCAAGCUAUCCCAUCCCUGACACACCUUGUGUCUUCUACUCGAGAACACGCACACACAGGUCUGAAACAUUAUCUUGGCAACCUCCUUUCCACUUCCUCUGUUAACAUUUGCAGAGAAACUUCCUAUGAGUCACUGUCUUCCUAACCUAACCUCAGGUCAAAACCCUAAGGGGAGCAGAUUCCAUGGAAGCUUGCAGCAU